GACGAACGCUGGCGGCGUGCCUAAUACAUGCAAGUCGAACGAGAGCGCCCGGUGCUUGCACUGGUCAAUCUAGUGGCGAACGGGUGAGUAACACGUGGGUAACCUGCCCAUCAGAGGGGGAUAACAUCCGGAAACGGAUGCUAAAACCGCAUAGGUCUUCGAGCCGCAUGGCUUGAAGAGGAAAAGAGGCGCAAGCUUCUGCUGAUGGAUGGACCCGCGGUGCAUUGGCUAGUUGGUGAGGUAACGGCUCACCAAGGCCGUGAUGCAUAGCCGACCUGAGAGGGUGAUCGGCCACAUUGGGACUGAGACACGGCCCAAACUCCUACGGGAGGCAGCAGUAGGGAAUCUUCCGCAAUGGACGCAAGUCUGACGGAGCAACGCCGCGUGAGUGAAGAAGGUUUUCGGAUCGUAAAACUCUGUUGUUAGAGAAGAACAAGUGCUAGAGUAACUGUUAGCGCCUUGACGGUAGCUAACCAGAAAGCCACGGCUAACUACGUG
RNAcentral lists this ribosomal RNA (498 nucleotides) under uncultured bacterium. Its description in RNAcentral is "partial 16S ribosomal RNA". It matches the Rfam family "Bacterial small subunit ribosomal RNA", at positions 28 to 507 of the family's 1533-position model. The record is from RNAcentral.